Molecule: long non-coding RNA, 7820 nt
Filed under: Marmota monax (woodchuck)
Lineage: Eukaryota; Metazoa; Chordata; Mammalia; Rodentia; Sciuridae
Source: RNAcentral
CAAAAAUCACAUUUUAAAAGCUUUCUUGCAAAUAUAAAGACAAUUAAAAUCACACAUUUUAAAGUUGGUAAUUUUUAGUAAAUAUAUUGAGUUGUGUACCUAUAUCCAUAAUGGACUUUUGGAUGUUUCUGUCACCUGAAAAAUUCCCAUUGUGUUUCAGUGCAGUUAAAUCUGCACCCACCCACCCCCAGCCACAUGAACUACAGUUAUGCUUUUUGUCUCUAUGGAUUUUCCUGUUCUUAGCAUUUCAUGUAAAUGGAAUUAUGAUAUUUGAUCUUUUGCAUCUGGCUUCGUUCACUUCAGAUAAUAUUUUCAAGGUUCAUCCAUAUUCUAGCAUGUAGAAUUCAUUUCUUUCUAUGGAUGAAUAACAUUCUGUUUUAAGGAUAUACUGUGUUUUGUUUAUCCAUUAAUCUUUGCAUAAUUUCCACUUUUUAUUAAUUGUGAAUGAUGGUGCUGUGUACACUUAUUACAAGUUUUGACAUAGACAUGUUUUUAUUUCUCUUGAGUAUAUACUUAGGAGUGGGAAUUGCUGGGCAUGUGGUGAUUCCAUGUUUAUCUAUUUGAGGAACUGCUAGAAUACUUUCAUGGCCCUGACAAUCAUGAGGCUUAGUCAGUUUUUCUCCAUGUUAGAUAAUUUUAUGAGUUUUGAGAAACAAUACCACAGAGUUGAAGCACCCUUCUUGCUACAUCAUAUCUGGUACUACAUGAUGCUUACAUGACAUAGUUUUCACUUGGUUAAGGCAAUGUUUUCUUAAGUUUCUUCUAGCAUACAGUAACAAUUUUCCAUUUGCCUAGAGAGCAUGUAGAGACAAGAAAGAAAAUGCUGGCGUGUUUCUCUUUUCACUGUGAAUCCAUGCCAUUUCUGUGUGGUGGGAUGAGUGUCCUAAUAGGGAAGGGGGUAGGGAAGAAGGGAAUUGAUUAUAUCAUAACCAUUCAUCUGAAGUCACUGUCUACCCCAUUUCUUCAUGUUUCCCAAAUUUUCCUGUCUCCUACUUUUAUCCCCUGUUUUACAUGAGAGAAGCAUAUUUCCUUGAGCUCCUGAAGGGAGAGAGCAAUCUUCAUGCUGUGUAUUCUGGAAAUGAUGCUGGAGCAAGACAGACAGAUCUCCCUGGGCAAGCAUUAUAUCCAAACCAGAAACUCUGGAACAUUCUUGACUUGGGGGUAAGUCUCUUCACUCUCUUAUCCUCACCUGGGAACACAUGUAUCUGUUGUGUGUGAGUGUCUUUGCUCUGUGGUAGAGUGGUGACAAAGAAAAUAGACAGGUGGGGACUAAGUUCUUGGUGAAUGAAUCAAUACCCAGGGCAGAGGCUCCAGUUCCUCUGUUUUGGAUUCUAUUCUCAUGUUGAGCAUUUAUCAUCUUUCUGUCCCUUCCCAGGGGUGACCUAGAUGCCUACUUUCUCUCUAUGUCGCCUACUGUCACAAAGGGGUAGGAAAAAUAGCAACGAGAGAGAGAGAGAGAGAGAGAGAGAGAGCGAGCGCGCGCCACACUGGAGGACCUGCUGUUCUCCUCUGUCCUGGAGGAGUUGGGAAAAAAAGAAGAAAAUCAGCAUCCUAUUUCCUCUUGUUGUAGAUACUAUCAUGUUCCCAAUUUUUCAGUACACUUAAACUCAUAGACCAGCCAACCCACGUGACACUAUAGUUAGGCCUCAUGGCACAAAGAUUUUAUCACCACCACCAUCUUUAAUAUGGGGGGUUGUCGAGUGAGUACUUACAUAUAGGGCAUAGUACUGGGAAAGUUGAAAAUGACCAUUUUCCAAAUGGGAAGCUGCUGGUUCUUUUGCAGGGAGAGCAAGAAAUGGAACCUCAUUUCUAUCCUGCCACUUAUCUGGAGAGAGUCUUAGACUUUGUGAGACUGAGCUUGGUCACAUGUGAAAUGGCACUCACCAUUCCUUCACACUGACAUCUGAUGGUAAAUAAGAAAUGCUGAAAAGUACCCAUGGGACACAGUGUGAGUCCUGUUUCCACUGCCUCUUCCCUCCCAGGAGGAGAUGUCAUUGGCCAAAGCUCAAAAGUGUAAAUGCAUAGAGAGCCUGUGCAAAGGGAGCAGCAAGCAUUGAAAUAGAUCCCAGAAUGUGUAAGCUUUGGGCCAGUGUCAAGCUGUGGUUUGUGUUACCUGAUGGUUGGGACAGAGGAAUAAAUUAUGGCACCAUUUCCUAUUAUUACAUAUGCUUGCUGUCCCCUUAGUUUGCCAUACUGUUUGAUACCAGAGGCGCAGUUUCCCAUUGAUUCUGAGGUAGAGCAGACAACAUGGAUGCUGGACCAAAGAUGAGAGUCAAGACACUGGACACCUCCCUGACUGCAGAUUCUUGGGUGAGUCACUUUCCCUGUGCUGGCCUCACCCUAGCACAGUGAUGCCCUAUAAUAGUGGCCUGAGCUCUGGGUCAAAAACCAGUUUCAGUCUGGACACCACUGAUGAAGUUUGAGUGAUUUUUUAAAAAAAUUGUCUUGAAUCUCCAUGCGGUAGGCAGAAUUCUAAGAUGACAUCCAAUGACCUUCACCCUUGUGUAAUCUCCUCCUCUUUGAGCAUGGUUUGUAUCUGUGAAUAUGAUAUGUGUUCCAUGAUUGUGUUCUGUUAUGUAGCAAAAGAGAGACUAUUUGGGUAGGCCUGACCUACUCAGUUAAGUUCUUUUUUUUUUUUUCUUUUUUUCUUUCUUUCUUUUUUUUUGGUACCGGGUAUUGAACUCAGGAGCACUCAGCCACUGAGCCACAUCCCCAGUCCUAUUUUGUAUUUUAUUUAGCGACAGGGUCUCACUGAUUUGCUUAGUGCCUCACUUUUGCUGAGGCGGGCUUUGAACUUGCAAUCCUCCUGUCAGCCUCCUGAGCCACUGGGAUUACAGGCAUGUGCCAUCACACUUGGCCUCAGUCAAGUUCUUUAAAAGUAUUUUUUUCUGGCUGUUCUAAGUAGGGGAAGUCAGAGAUUCACAACCCAGGAAGCAUUCAAUGCACCAUCAUUGGCUGGAAGAUGAAGGUGGCUAUACAGCAGAAAAUUGGACUAGUCCCUAGGAGCAAGGAACCUUCAUAGAUGACAGCCAUAAGGAAAAUGAAGACUUCAGUCCAGUAGUCACAAGUAAAUUAUUUCUGUAGCAACAAGCAUGAUAUUGGAAUUAGAUUACUCCCCAGAGGCUUCAGUUGAGACCUCAGUGGGACCUACACCAAUACCUGGAUUUUUCCCUAAGCACACAAUUAGGUCAUGCUGUGCCAGACCUCUGACCUAUAGAUCUGUGAGCUAUUGAAUGGGUGUAGAUGUUAGUCCCCACACAUGUGGGUACACAACUGCAGAAAAUUCAUCCAUUCCAGUUAAGCUGGAUUCAUACUCAUUGCAUAUAGAGUGUAUAUGUGUGCAGAUGAUACUUGGAGAGAAUAUAACACAUGAUAACUUUUACUAGUGCACGGUGAAGCUGAUGGUUAUGGAUAUAUUCAUAGUGGUAUCUGAAUUCAUUUCCCACAUUUACCAAGAGGAUGAUGGGCUACCUGUUAAUCAGAGAUAAAUAAAACCCAAUAGAGUUUUCUUAAUGUAAACAUAUUAGAAUUCAGACAUUUGAAAGGUAUAAUAAAUACCAUAAUAACCAGAUAUGUCCACAACCAAGACUGUAAAAUUAAACAUCAGAGUAAAUACACCUGGAUGACUUUUCUGAUGCCUUAUCCCCAAAAGGACCCAUUAUCCAAAAUCUGUUUUUGACAUUCUCCUGCUUUGCUCCACGUUUUACCCCUGUGACUAUAUCCCUAAACAAAACCCAUGGUUGCUUUACUUAUUUUAAGCUCUUACAUAAGUAGUAUAUUUAUAUUUAUAUACUACUUAUUGAUUUUUUCUUCACUGAACAUAAUGUUUUUGAAAUCUCUCUAAUAAUGCAGCUUUGGGGUUUUGAUAUUUUAGCUAAGCUUGGUGACCUGCUUGCAUAUUUGUCUGAGGCACUGAGUAUUCCAGUGUUCCAACCACUAACAGGCGUUUCUAGUGCUGAGGACAAAUCUGUGAAUUGUGGUUGCCAUAGAAACCAGAUGUCAUUAUGGCCACUAUGGUGACUGUGAUGACAUUUUAAAGGAGACCCACUUGCUAUGGUUGGAGAGCAGUGUCCCACCUUCAGGUGUUUGGACUCAGCAGAGGGUGUGGGUGCCCCACAAUGAGGAUUGAGGCAUGGAGAGACAAAGGCAUCUGAGACCCAAAUCACCUUGUUCCCACACUGGGUCUUGGUGCCCUGCUGACUCAAGAGGGAGAGAAAUAUGGAACCCUCCUGGCCCCAGGCAGUGUGGUGUACUGUGUGGAUAUUAUAGGAUCAUAGAUGCCUGUAUAAAUUAGACCACUUCUUAUUCAUUUUCAAAUUUGUUUUUAGCAGAUGAGAGAUAAGUAACAGAGAAUAAAAAGGUCCUGGUGAGAAGCCCAUUGUACCUCUGGUUGUAAUAAUCACUACCCAGUUGUACCAGUGCCUAGCAUGGUACUAGGUACACAGUUCCUCUUGUGAGGCACAGUGAUUCUUGGGUUCUCUUUUUUCCUGAGAAAUUCCUCUUGGGCUUAUUAUAUCAAAUGUCUGAAGGAGGCAGUUUCCGAGGAUCUGAGUGGUGAUGGCUGCUGAACUUCUACCCCACAUGUAAAUGCUGCAGUGCUCAGGAGACCCCUGGUGUGAUAUGAGUCUUGGUUCAUGUGAGUUCAUAGAGCUAAACAUAGUCAUGUUAUUGAAUAUUGUCUACAAGGUUCACAAAAUCAUAUAAAAGUAGACAAGCUCUUUUAACAUCAUCAUUUGAAGAAGAAAAUGGAGUUUUGUCCCAUUGGCAACUUAUAUGCUUUGUUGUAGCCCUUGAGGCUCAUUCAUCCUAGAGAUGGCUUCUUAGUCUGAAAGCAAUGAAUCCUUCAGCUUGUGGUAGGAACUUGAUAUUUAACAGGUAUGUUCAAUAAAUUUCAUUUACUUUUUGAUUAUAUGCAUAAAAAAACUGUGAUUCCUAUCAAAAUCUUCAGAUGAGUAUUGAAAUAUACAGUUGGUUAGAAGGCAUUGUGAAAUUGUAAUAUGGAAUUGAAUCAUCCUUGGUAGCCAAGUUUUAUGCAUUCUUAAAUUUUUGUAGAAACCAACUAUUAUCUAAGGAUUAGUUUAAUAUAAUUUUUAUGUUUUUCAAAAAUAUUAAUUAAAAUAGAAUUUAUCCUAUUGUAAUUCAGAGCUAUGUUGUUUAAAAUAACCAAAUACACUGAAUAUCAGUAUGAUUAUUUUAUCAGGUUGUACCAUUUCAGUUUUAGACUUCAGAAAGAAAUGUGCAUCACCUUUCCCUAAAUAUUUAGAUAGACCUCAUUGCAAAUGAUUGCUUCUAUUUUGGUCAUAUGUUGUAUGGAAAACUCAAAAAGACCUAGUGAUUAUCUAUUAAUAUGACAGGAUCAUCUUAGUGGAAAUUAUUCUAUUUAAAUGUAUUUCACCAAAUCUCUGAAGAAUACAAGCAUAUUUCCAAUACUUUAUUGAUGUAUGAUUCAUGUGUAAUUCACUGUGCGUAUUUAAAGUCUUUGCUGAAGUAUUGACAUCUGUAUGCACCAGUGAAGCCAACACUACAGCAAAGGAAAUAUAUAUCCAUCCCCCCAAAAAGUGUUUUCCUGCCCCUUUGCCAUCCUCAUACCCACAUAUCUCCUUCCAGCCUCCCUGCCUCUCCCACCCCUCCCCAUUUUCAAGCAACUACUGUUACCUCACUAUUGAUUAUUUUGUCUUUCUUAUAAUUUUAUGUAAGCAGAUUCAUAUAUGUAUUCACUUUUGUCUGGCUUCUUAUAUUCAACCUAUUAAUUUUAGAUUUAUCCAUAUUGUUUCCAUUUUAAUUGCUGAGCACUAUUCCAUUAUAUAGAUAUGCCACAAUUUGGUUUUAUCUAUCCACUUUAUUAUGGAUGAUGAGCUUUCAUUGUGUAUAAAUUCUCUCUCUCUCUCUCUCUCUCUCUCUCUAUAUAUAUAUAUAUAUAUAUAUAUAUAUAUAUGAUUUCUUUGUCUAGAGUACAUAACUAGGAAUGCAGUGGCUGGAGCCUAUGGUAGACAUAAAAUAAUUAUCGUCAGAAACUGCCAAAAUCUUUUCCAAAGUGGUUGUAUCAUUUUUCAUUCUCAUGAGCAAUAUAUGAGAGUUCAUUCUCCACAGCCUUGUCAACAAUUGGUAUGGUCAGUCUUUUUUAAUUUUAGCCAUGUUCAUGGGAGUGUAGUGGUAUCUCAUUGUAGUUUUCAUUUAUAUUUCUAAAACAAUGAUGUUGAACAUAUUUUCAUAUGAUUAUUUGCUAUUUAUAUAUAUUAUUUGGUGAAGUGUCUGUUCACAUUGUUUUCCUAUUUAUUUAUUGUGUCUUUUUUUCUUUUUAUUGAUUUCUAAUUUCUGGAUAUGUUACUAGUCAGACAUAUUACUUUCAUACACUUUUUUUCAAAGUUAUUUUAUUUCUUUAUUUAAUUUUGGUACUGGGUAUUGAACCCAUGGAUGCUUUAACAUUGAGCUACAUCUCCAGCCAUUUUUUUUUAACAUUUUGAGACAGGGUCUUGAUAAGAGGCCUAGGUUAGCCUCCAGCUUGCAAUCCUCCUGCUUCAGCCUCCCGAAUCACUGGGGUUACAGACAUGCAUCACUGUACCCAGCUUUUUCACAAUCAUUGCUUCUCUUUUCAUUAUCUCAACCAUGUUUUUGGAAGAGUAAAACUGUUUAAUUUUGAGGAGGACCAUUUAUAAUUUUCUUUCUUUAAAGUUAAGAUGCUUCUAUUGGUCUUAUCUAAGUUUUACCUAACCCAUGUUUAUAAGGAUUUUCUCCUGUGUUUCUUUACAGCAGCUUACACAUUUAGGUUUUAUGUUUAAGUGUCAGAUUCAGUUUGAGUUCAGUUUUGUGUGUGGUACAGUAUAUGUACCACAAUUCAUUUUUGGAUAUCCAUUUGUGCUAGAACCAUUUGUUGAAAAGACCUUCCUUUCUCUCCUUAAUUGCUUUUGCUCCUUUGUUGAAAAUUAGUUGUCCAUCCAGGAGUGAGUCUAUUUCUGGACUCUUUAUUCUGUUCCUUUGAUGUAACAGGGUUCCACUUCAUGCUUUGAGUGUAAACAUUGCUGCCCCACCACCACAGGUGGAUCACUUUAAAACUGGCAUUUUUUUUCUUAUUUUUCCAUUUUCUUCAUAUUUAUCCUCUCCACAUCCCUAAUGGCAGGGGAAACAAGACCAACAUUUUUCCCAGCCCACGCUAAGCUAUCAUGUCCUUCACACCUUGAACAAUAUCACUGUCCACAAGAAUAAAGCAACUCCAAACCUGGGAGCUGGAGCAACAGCUCUCUCAAGGACAUCCACUGGACACUAAUUACUUAUAUCUACUGAUAAUGUUUAUAUCCCAGUUCUUGUGUUCCUCCCUUAAAAUUCCUGUGUUCCCACAGGCAGGGAGAAUCAGCCUCUGGAACAGGAGUCCCCAGUGUUUCUACUUUGCUAAUAAAUCAAUAAAACUUCUUACUUUUUCUCAAAACCUGUCCUCAUUAUUAAAUCGUCAGUGGAGACAAGGACCAAGCUUUGGUAUCAUACUUACCUACCUUGAUACCAAAACCACAGUUUGAUUACUGUAGGUUUAUAAGGAAUCUUGAAAUCAGGUAGUAUUUGUCCUCUAACUUGGUUCUUUUUCUAAGUCAUUUGUUAUAGUCUAGGUCCUUUUUAUUUCUACAUGAUUUUAACAUCAGUUUAUAAAUUUCUUUUAAUUUUUUGUAGGACUUUUAUUGAGAUUGCACUGAAUCUGUAUAUUAAUUUGAGGAGAAGAGACAUCUUAACAAUUCUGAGUCCCAUGAAUACCAUUUGUCUUCCACUUCUUUGAGUCUUCCUUAGUUUUCUUGGCAAUAUUUUAUAGGUGGUAAGUGUACAAAUAUUUUACA